CUGGAGACUAAAAUUGGGCUCACCCUUGGGGUUGGGCUUUGGGGUGUAUUAAUUAUUUGACUCAUCUUUUCAGAUGAAGUCUGAAGUGUGAAAACGCAGAAACAAAAACACCCAUUUCAGCAGAUGUCUCCCAACAGUUGCAUCCCUUCUUUAUACCUGUUGCGAACAGAAGUCUAUUUUCCGGUGCUGGAAUUUCUGACUUAGAUCGUUGAAUCCUGGUGGAACAGAC
Molecule: non-coding RNA, 229 nt
Organism: Malus domestica (apple)
Lineage: Eukaryota; Viridiplantae; Streptophyta; Magnoliopsida; Rosales; Rosaceae
Source: RefSeq, a predicted model, not a curated record